AUAUUAAUGAAAGUAGGUUAAGCUAAUACAUAUAUUCCAACAUAAACUUGUUUAGUUCAUCAUUCUAACAAAAUAACAAAGAGAUUCUCAUAAACAUAUCAUUACAAACAUGAAGAACUAAAUGAAAGGAAUACGAAAGUUGAGAUAAAACCCUUUUAAAUACGAAUUGUAAUUCCUUCAAUGUAUUCUUCAAGCUUUCCUUAAUGAUCUCCUUGCUAUAUCCACUUGAUUCCCAAAAUAAAACUAAAAUU
RNAcentral lists this long non-coding RNA (251 nucleotides) under Olea europaea (common olive). RNAcentral's name for it is "long non-coding RNA (OEUR_LNC002266)". Lineage: Eukaryota; Viridiplantae; Streptophyta; Magnoliopsida; Lamiales; Oleaceae. The record is from RNAcentral.